Molecule: ribosomal RNA, 1136 nt
Filed under: uncultured Alteromonas sp.
Lineage: Bacteria; Pseudomonadati; Pseudomonadota; Gammaproteobacteria; Alteromonadales; Alteromonadaceae
Description: bacterial SSU rRNA
Rfam family: Bacterial small subunit ribosomal RNA
Source: RNAcentral
CUAACACAUGCAAGUCGAACGGUAACAUUUCUAGCUUGCUAGAAGAUGACGAGUGGCGGACGGGUGAGUAAUGCUUGGGAACUUGCCUUUGCGAGGGGGAUAACAGUUGGAAACGACUGCUAAUACCGCAUAAUGUCUUCGGACCAAACGGGGCUUCGGCUCCGGCGCAAAGAGAGGCCCAAGUGAGAUUAGCUAGUUGGUAAGGUAACGGCUUACCAAGGCGACGAUCUCUAGCUGUUCUGAGAGGAAGAUCAGCCACACUGGGACUGAGACACGGCCCAGACUCCUACGGGAGGCAGCAGUGGGGAAUAUUGCACAAUGGGGGAAACCCUGAUGCAGCCAUGCCGCGUGUGUGAAGAAGGCCUUCGGGUUGUAAAGCACUUUCAGUUGUGAGGAAAAGUUAGUAGUUAAUACCUGCUAGCCGUGACGUUAACAACAGAAGAAGCACCGGCUAACUCCGUGCCAGCAGCCGCGGUAAUACGGAGGGUGCGAGCGUUAAUCGGAAUUACUGGGCGUAAAGCGCACGCAGGCGGUUUGUUAAGCUAGAUGUGAAAGCCCCGGGCUCAACCUGGGAUGGUCAUUUAGAACUGGCAGACUAGAGUCUUGGAGAGGGGAGUGGAAUUCCAGGUGUAGCGGUGAAAUGCGUAGAUAUCUGGAGGAACAUCAGUGGCGAAGGCGACUCCCUGGCCAAAGACUGACGCUCAUGUGCGAAAGUGUGGGUAGCGAACAGGAUUAGAUACCCUGGUAGUCCACACCGUAAACGCUGUCUACUAGCUGUGUGUGUCUUUAAGACGUGCGUAGCGAAGCUAACGCGCUAAGUAGACCGUCUGGGGAGUACGGCCGCAAGGUUAAAACUCAAAUGAAUUGACGGGGGCCCGCACAAGCGGUGAGCAUGUGUUUAAUUCGAUGCAACGCGAAGAACCUUACCAGGCCUUGACAUCCUGAGAACUUUCUAGAGAUAGAUCGGUGCCUUCGGGACUCAGUGACAGUGUGCAUGCUGUCGUCAGCUCGUGUCGUGAGAUGUUGGGUUAGUCCGUACGAGCGCAUCUUAUCUUACUUGCAGCACUUCGUGACUUUAGGAACUGCGGUGACAAUCGGAGGAAGGAAGAUGAUGUCAAGUCAUCAUGGCCUUACGC